RNAcentral lists this ribosomal RNA (500 nucleotides) under uncultured bacterium. RNAcentral's name for it is "bacterial SSU rRNA". It matches the Rfam family "Bacterial small subunit ribosomal RNA", at positions 28 to 538 of the family's 1533-position model. The record is from RNAcentral.
GAUGAACGCUGGCGGCGUGCCUCAAACAUGCAAGUCGAGCGGGGCUAUGUAAUAUCGCAAGGUAGAACAUAGCCUAGCGGCGAACGGGUGAGUAACACGUGGGUAACCUGCCUGGAAGACAGGGAUAACGAUUCGAAAGGGUCGCUAAUACCUGAUAAUAUCCUUUCAUCGCAUGGUGAUAGGAAGAAAGGGGAAACCCGCUUUCAGAUGGGCCCGCGUCCCAUCAGCUAGUUGGUAAGGUAAAGGCUUACCAAGGCGACGACGGGUAGCCGGUCUGAGAGGAUGUACGGCCACACUGGGACUGAGAUACGGCCCAGACUCCUACGGGAGGCAGCAGUUGGGAAUCUUAGGCAAUGGACGAAAGUCUGACCUAGCGACGCCGCGUGAGGGAAGAAGGCCUUCGGGUUGUAAACCUCUGUCAUGGGGAGAAGUAAGUGACGGUACCCAAGAGGAAGCCCCUGCUAACUACGUGCCAGCAGCCGCGGUAAAAGUACUACUAU